RNAcentral lists this ribosomal RNA (253 nucleotides) under uncultured bacterium. Its description in RNAcentral is "partial 16S ribosomal RNA". It matches the Rfam family "Bacterial small subunit ribosomal RNA", at positions 524 to 776 of the family's 1533-position model. The record is from RNAcentral. RNAcentral also lists the same sequence under 1 other name.
UACAGAGGUCCCGAGCGUUGUUCGGAUUCACUGGGCGUAAAGGGUGCGUAGGUGGUGGGGUAAGUCUCGUGUGAAAGCUCGCAGCUUAACUGCGAAAAGUCACGGGAUACUAUUCUGCUGGAGGCUUGGAGGGGGGACUGGAAUACUUGGUGUAGCAGUGAAAUGCGUAGAUAUCAAGUGGAACACCAGUGGCGAAGGCGAGUCCCUGGACAAGACCUGACACUGAGGCACGAAAGCCAGGGGAGCAAACAGG